GGAUUCCCCUAGUAACUGCGAGUGAAGCGGGAAAAGCUCAAAUUUGAAAUCUGGCAGUUUUCAACUGUCCGAAUUGUAAUCUAGAGAAGUGUUACCUGUGCGGGACCAUGUACAAGUCUUCUGGAAUGAAGCAUCAUAGAGGGUGAGAAUCCCGUCUUUGACAUGGACUACCUUGUACAUUGUGGUAUGCUCUCAAAGAGUCGAGUUGUUUGGGAAUGCAGCUCAAAAUGGGUGGUAAAUGCCAUCUAAAGCUAAAUAUUGGCGAGAGACCGAUAGCGAACAAGUACCGUGAGGGAAAGAUGAAAAGAACUUUGGAAAGAGAGUUAAACAGUACGUGAAAUUGCUGAAAGGGAAACGCUUGAAGUCAGUCACAUUGGCUAGAAAUCAGCCUUGCUUCUGCUUGGUGUACUUUCUGGUUGAUGGGUCAGCAUCAAUUUUGACCACUGGAUAAAGUCUCUGGGAAUGUGGCAUCUUUUUUGGAUGUGUUAUAGCCCAUUGUCGCAUGCAGUGGUUGGGAUUGAGGAACUCAGCACGCCCUGCAAGGGGCCAGGUUUCUACCAUGUUCGUGCUUAGGAUGCUGGCAUAAUGGCUUCAAUCGACCCGUCUUGAAACACGGACCAAGGAGUCUAACAUGCCUGCGAGUGUUUGGGUGGAAAACCCAUGCGCGCAAUGAAAGUGAAAGUUGAGAUCUCUGUAAAGGGAGAGCAUUGACGCCCGGACCAGACCUUUUGUGACGGAUCCGCGGUAGAGCAUGUAUGUUGGGACCCGAAAGAUGGUGAACUAUGCCUGAAUAGGGUGAAGCCAGAGGAAACUCUGGUGGAGGCUCGUAGCGAUUCUGACGUGCAAAUCGAUCGUCAAAUUUGGGUAUAGGGGCGAAAGACUAAUCGAACCAUCUAGUAGCUGGUUCCUGC
Molecule: ribosomal RNA, 911 nt
Filed under: Inocybe ericetorum
Lineage: Eukaryota; Fungi; Basidiomycota; Agaricomycetes; Agaricales; Inocybaceae
Description: LSU rRNA
Rfam family: Eukaryotic large subunit ribosomal RNA
Source: RNAcentral